Molecule: ribosomal RNA, 466 nt
Filed under: uncultured bacterium
Lineage: Bacteria
Description: bacterial SSU rRNA
Rfam family: Bacterial small subunit ribosomal RNA
Source: RNAcentral
CCAGACUCCUACGGGAGGCAGCAGUGAGGAAUAUUGGUCAAUGGUCGGGAGACUGAACCAGCCAAGCCGCGUGAGGGAGGAAGGUACAGAGUAUCGUAAACCUCUUUUGUCAGGGAACAAAGACUGGGACGCGUCCCCGGAUGAGUGUACCUGAAGAAAAAGCAUCGGCUAACUCCGUGCCAGCAGCCGCGGUAAUACGGAGGAUGCGAGCGUUAUCCGGAUUUAUUGGGUUUAAAGGGUGCGCGGGCGGUCUGUUAAGUCAGCGGUCAAAGCCCGGGGCUCAACCCCGGGACUGCAUUUGAAACUGCCGUGCUGGAGUGUCGGAGAGGCAAGUGGAAUUCCUAGUGUAGCGGUGAAAUGCGUAGAUAUUAGGAGGAACACCAGUGGCGAAGGCGGCUUGCUGGACGAUAACUGACGCUGAGGCUCGAAAGCGUGGGGAGCAAACAGGAUUAGAUACCCCGGUACA